GGCGUUGCCCGAGCGGCCAAUGGGAGCGGACUGUAAAUCCGUCGCGAAAGCUACAGAGGUUCGAAUCCUCUACCCGCCA
This 79-nucleotide transfer RNA is filed under the name Micromonospora sp. CB01531. It matches the Rfam family "tRNA". Rfam says of the family: Transfer RNA (tRNA) molecules are approximately 80 nucleotides in length. Their secondary structure includes four short double-helical elements and three loops (D, anti-codon, and T loops). Lineage: Bacteria; Bacillati; Actinomycetota; Actinomycetes; Micromonosporales; Micromonosporaceae. The record is from Rfam by way of RNAcentral.